GGGAGAACCUCGCAGUCCAGUACAGCGCCGGCCGGUGAGCGGUGCAGUGUGUGGCUUCUUGCUGCUGCGAUCACCCCAUGAAGGAAAGUGACUAGAACUGACGACCCGAAAGAGGAAAAAAAAAGGAAAACGAUUGAUAAAUCUGAUCCGAAAGCAAAACAAAAAGGAAAAAAAAGAGGAACAUUAAAAAAGACCUGAAAAAAAAUUAGAGAAAAUCGAUCCGUUCGAAAUCCGCGACGGACACGAUGCCCUGAUCUCUCCUCGACGGAGAUUCUCGCCGCCCAUCGACGAUUUUUGUGGGCGUUUCUCUCUGUCUCUUCACACACACACUUACACACCUAACGCCCACACUGACACCUCGCCCACUGUAUCACAUUCGCGCCCAACAUACACAGAACACCAUCCAACCUUUCAUCUUCCUUCGACAUCGCG
Penaeus monodon (black tiger shrimp) is the source of this 432-nucleotide long non-coding RNA. RefSeq lists it as uncharacterized. The record is from RefSeq and is a predicted model, not a curated record. Lineage: Eukaryota; Metazoa; Arthropoda; Malacostraca; Decapoda; Penaeidae. The transcript has 2 exons.